Molecule: long non-coding RNA, 86 nt
Organism: Etheostoma cragini (Arkansas darter)
Lineage: Eukaryota; Metazoa; Chordata; Actinopteri; Perciformes; Percidae
Exons: 3
Source: RefSeq, a predicted model, not a curated record
UUUCUCUUUUUCUUGUUCUCUGUAAACCCGAGAGAUGAUUGUGCGUAAAAAUCCCAGUAGAUCUGCAGUUUCUGAAAUGGUCAAAC